CAAUGGCGGGCUACUAGGCGGAAGCUCAUGGCACCAGUCACCAACAGGUCGUGUACAAAGGAUGUUCAUCAAGGAGCUGGAGGGAGGACAGGAGGCUGGAUGAGCAAAGAAGAAGGUGCUGCAGGAACAUACUGCUGCUCCCGGCUGCUUCUCUGAACUGGCAGCUCAGAUCAGAAUCUACUGCAGGUGUCCCUUUCUGUUUUUGUUGUUUUCCCAUUUUAGGCACUGAAUGCACGGUUUUCAUCAGUCUUAUGGCGUACACCUGCGCCUGCUGUGUCCAAUAAAACCAUCCCCAUUCAGCCCUGUUGGGGGCCUCCCUGCUCUGGCUGUCGGUGUUGUCUGAACUGAUGGCAGCUGUGGCCUUUCUUCUGUUCAUUGUUCUUUAGUAAUUUGUCAGCCUACAUUUGAUUUUC
Long non-coding RNA from Seriola dumerili (greater amberjack), 413 nucleotides. RefSeq lists it as uncharacterized. The record is from RefSeq and is a predicted model, not a curated record. Lineage: Eukaryota; Metazoa; Chordata; Actinopteri; Carangiformes; Carangidae. The transcript has 4 exons.